AAAUCGAAAGAAAAAAAAAACAAAGUGAAAGAAAAUUGGUAGACUUAAAGAUCAAAAUGGGUCUGCACAAAAAAAAAAUAAAUUAAAAUAAGAGCCAAAAGAAUAAAACAAUAAAAUUGGCCUGUUCAAAAAUGAAAAACAAAAUAAACAAAGUAGUUCCACUAGUACUCAUGUUGUUUUGACAAAGAGACCGAAGGUGAGUAGUACUUUAAUGUGUAGGGAUGAAUAUGUAGUGUAUCUAACUCCAAUUCUUUUGAUUAACCUACUUUCCUAAAUAUAUCCCACCUUAACCUAAGCCACAUCAUAACCUUGAAAGUCCUCUAAAGUGUGUGUGAUUUUUAUGACUUUGAAUGACUGUUUAGAAUUUCUUCAAGUUCGUAGCAAAAUGCAUUAACAUGUUGAUCGGAGCGGGCAAAUGCCAUGACCAGCCCCACUGGCUUUGAGAAUUGGUGAGGAAGAGAAUGGGAAAUAGAGUGUGGUUGAAAGCAUGAACUAUCUUCUCUAAGCCUGCCCCGCUUGCGCGAAAUUGGUAAGUUAGUCAACGCCGGAAGGGGGACGAAUGAGGAUCUAAGCACCCUCUCGGAAAGGUAUGUCAUUUUUAAAUUUGUGCAAAUUCUGACUUUUUGUCAAUUUUGUUACUUGAGGACAAGCAACAUAUUAAGUUUGGG
This 668-nucleotide long non-coding RNA is filed under the name Trifolium pratense (red clover). Its description in RNAcentral is "long non-coding RNA (TPRA_LNC009181)". The record is from RNAcentral. Lineage: Eukaryota; Viridiplantae; Streptophyta; Magnoliopsida; Fabales; Fabaceae.